AACGCUAGCGGCAGGCUUAAUACAUGCAAGUCGUACGGGAUCCGAGAUAGCAAUAUCUUGGUGAGAGUGGCGCACGGGUGCGUAACACGUAUGCAACCUACCUUUAACCGGGACACAACCUUGAGAAAUUGAGGCUAAUAUCCCAUAACACUGCGAAGUGGCAUCACUAUGCAGUUAAAACUCCGGUGGAUAGAGAUGGGCACGCGCAAGAUUAGCUAGUUGGUGAGGUAACGGCUCACCAAGGCGAUGAUCUUUAGGGGGCCUGAGAGGGUGAUCCCCCACACUGGUACUGAGACACGGACCAGACUCCUACGGGAGGCAGCAGUGAGGAAUAUUGGUCAAUGGGUGCAAGCCUGAACCAGCCAUCCCGCGUGAAGGACGACUGCCCUAUGGGUUGUAAACUUCUUUUGUAUAGGGAUAAACCUACCCUCGUGAGGGUAGCUGAAGGUACUAUACGAAUAAGCACCGGCUAACUCCGUG
This 480-nucleotide ribosomal RNA is filed under the name uncultured bacterium. RNAcentral's name for it is "bacterial SSU rRNA". It matches the Rfam family "Bacterial small subunit ribosomal RNA", at positions 32 to 507 of the family's 1533-position model. The record is from RNAcentral.